Paramuricea clavata is the source of this 157-nucleotide non-coding RNA. The record is from the annotation of a GenBank genome assembly. NCBI's taxonomy places the organism in Eukaryota, Metazoa, Cnidaria, Anthozoa, Malacalcyonacea, Plexauridae.
UAUUAUGACGUCAUUAUACAGAUUUAGCCGAGGACGUGGACGUCAAAGAAGACGUGAAAAUGGCGUGGCAUAUCCAUACAUGGGCACAACACGGCAUUUUCACGUCGUCUUUGACGUCCGCGUCCUCGAUCUAAAUCUGUGAAUUAUCAUUUUGGCG